AGAGUUUGAUCCUGGCUCAGGAUGAACGCUAGCUACAGGCUUAACACAUGCAAGUCGAGGGGAAACGAUAUUGGAAGCUUGCUUCCGAUAGGCGUCGACCGGCGCACGGGUGAGUAACGCGUAUCCAACCUGCCCACCACUUGGGGAUAACCUUGCGAAAGUAAGACUAAUACCCAAUGACGUCUCUAGAAGACAUCUGAAGGAGAUUAAAGAUUUAUCGGUGAUGGAUGGGGAUGCGUCUGAUUAGCUUGUUGGCGGGGUAACGGCCCACCAAGGCAACGAUCAGUAGGGGUUCUGAGAGGAAGGUCCCCCACAUUGGAACUGAGACACGGUCCAAACUCCUACGGGAGGCAGCAGUGAGGAAUAUUGGUCAAUGGGCGAGAGCCUGAACCAGCCAAGUAGCGUGCAGGAAGACGGCCCUAUGGGUUGUAAACUGCUUUUAUAAGGGAAUAAAGUUAGUCUCGUGAGACUUUUUGCAUGUACCUUAUGAAUAAGGACCGGCUAAUUCCGUGCCAGCAGCCGCGGUAAUACGGAAGGUCCGGGCGUUAUCCGGAUUUAUUGGGUUUAAAGGGAGCGUAGGCCGGAGAUUAAGCGUGUUGUGAAAUGUAGACGCUCAACGUCUGCACUGCAGCGCGAACUGGUUUCCUUGAGUACGCACAAAGUGGGCGGAAUUCGUGGUGUAGCGGUGAAAUGCUUAGAUAUCACGAAGAACUCCGAUUGCGAAGGCAGCUCACUGGAGCGCAACUGACGCUGAAGCUCGAAAGUGCGGGUAUCGAACAGGAUUAGAUACCCUGGUAGUCCACGCCGUAAACGAUGAAUGCUAGGUGUAGGAGGUAUCGACCCCUUCUGUGCCGGAGUUAACGCAAUAAGCAUUCCGCCUGGGGAGUACGGCCGCAAGGCUGAAACUCAAAGGAAUUGACGGGGGCCCGCACAAGCGGUGGAGUAUGUGGUUUAAUUCGACGCAACGCGAAGAACCUUACCAGGGCUUGACAUUGAGUGAAAGGACAAGAGAUUGUCCCCUCUCUUCGGAGACACGAAAACAGGUGGUGCAUGGCUGUCGUCAGCUCGUGUCAUGAGAUGUUGGGUUAAGUCCCGCAACGAGCGCAACCCCUAUCCUUUGUUGCCAGCACGUUAUGGUGGGAACUCAAAGGAGACUGCCGCGGACAACGCGGAGGAAGGCGGGGAUGACGUCAAGUCAUCAUGCCCCUUAUGUCCUGGGCUACACACGUACUACAAUGGGAUGGACAGAGAGCAGCGAAGCCGCGAGGCCAAGCGAACCCCAUAAACCAUCUCCCAGUUCGGAUUGCAGGCUGCAACCCGCCUGCAUGAAGUUGGAAUCGCUAGUAAUCGCAGGUCAGCAUACUGCGGUGAAUACGUUCCCGGGCCUUGUACACACCGCCCGUCACACCACGGAAGUCAUUCACACCCGAAGCCGGCAGGCUAACCUUUUGGAGGCAGCCGUCUAAGGUGGGGGCGAUGACUGGGGUGAAGUCGUAACAAGGUA
Molecule: ribosomal RNA, 1504 nt
Filed under: metagenome
Description: bacterial SSU rRNA
Rfam family: Bacterial small subunit ribosomal RNA
Source: RNAcentral